GACGAACGCUGGCGGCGUGCUUAACACAUGCAAGUCGAACGGAAAGGCCCUGCUUUUGUGGGGUGCUCGAGUGGCGAACGGGUGAGUAACACGUGAGUAACCUGCCCUUGACUUUGGGAUAACGUCAGGAAACUGGGGCUAAUACCGGAUAUGAGCUCCUGCUGCAUGGUGGGGGUUGGAAAGUUUCGGCGGUUGGGGAUGGACUCGCGGCUUAUCAGCUUGUUGGUGGGGUAGUGGCUUACCAAGGCUUUGACGGGUAGCCGGCCUGGGAGGGUGACCGGCCACAUUGGGACUGAGAUACGGCCCAGACUCCUACGGGAGGCAGCAGUGGGGAAUAUUGCACAAUGGGCGGAAGCCUGAUGCAGCAACGCCGCGUGCGGGAUGACGGCCUUCGGGUUGUAAACCGCUUUCGCCUGUGACGAAGCGUGAGUGACGGUAAUGGGUAAAGAAGCACCGGCUAACUACGUG
RNAcentral lists this ribosomal RNA (468 nucleotides) under uncultured bacterium. RNAcentral's name for it is "partial 16S ribosomal RNA". It matches the Rfam family "Bacterial small subunit ribosomal RNA", at positions 28 to 507 of the family's 1533-position model. The record is from RNAcentral.